GUGAAUCAUCGAAUCUUUGAACGCAAAUUGCACUCUCUUCGGAGAGUAUGCCUGUUUGAGGGUCAGCCUAAAAAAAAUCGAAGUAGUCGCUGUUUCGCGGUGACAUUCGUCGGAAUUUGGGCAAUCUUAAACCUUUGGGUUUUUUAAGCGGAUUAAAAUUUUUUUUUCGCAUCCACGAUUGUUUCUAAUAUUUUAUUUCUUACACACGUUUUAG
Molecule: unclassified non-coding RNA, 214 nt
Filed under: Glomus sp.
Lineage: Eukaryota; Fungi; Glomeromycota; Glomeromycetes; Glomerales; Glomeraceae
Description: partial contains 5.8S ribosomal RNA and internal transcribed spacer 2
Rfam family: 5.8S ribosomal RNA (bases 1-65)
Source: RNAcentral